This 468-nucleotide ribosomal RNA is filed under the name uncultured bacterium. Its description in RNAcentral is "partial 16S ribosomal RNA". It matches the Rfam family "Bacterial small subunit ribosomal RNA", at positions 28 to 507 of the family's 1533-position model. The record is from RNAcentral.
GACGAACGCUGGCGGCGUGCUUAACACAUGCAAGUCGAACGGAAAGGCCCUGCUUUUGUGGGGUGCUCGAGUGGCGAACGGGUGAGUAACACGUGAGUAACCUGCCCUUGACUUUGGGAUAACUUCAGGAAACUGGGGCUAAUACCGGAUAGGAGCUCCUGCUGCAUCGUGGGGGUUGGAAAGUUUCGGCGGUUGGGGAUGGACUCGCGGCUUAUCAGCUUGUUGGUGGGGUAGUGGCUUACCAAGGCUUUGACGGGUAGCCGGCCUGAGAGGGUGACCGGCCACAUUGGGACUGAGAUACGGCCCAGACUCCUACGGGAGGCAGCAGUGGGGAAUAUUGCACAAUGGGCGGAAGCCUGAUGCAGCAACGCCGCGUGCGGGAUGACGGCCUUCGGGUUGUAAACCGCUUUCGCCUGUGACGAAGCGUGAGUGACGGUAAUGGGUAAAGAAGCACCGGCUAACUACGUG